Molecule: ribosomal RNA, 252 nt
Filed under: uncultured bacterium
Lineage: Bacteria
Description: partial 16S ribosomal RNA
Rfam family: Bacterial small subunit ribosomal RNA
Source: RNAcentral
UACAGAGGGGGCAAGCGUUGUUCGGAAUUACUGGGCGUAAGGGCGCGUAGGCGGCCUUCUAAGUCGAACGUGAAAUCCCCGGGCUCAACCCGGGAACUGCGUCCGAUACUGGAAGGCUUGAAUCCGGGAGAGGGAUGCGGAAUUCCAGGUGUAGCGGUGAAAUGCGUAGAUAUCUGGAGGAACACCGGUGGCGAAGGCGGCAUCCUGGACCGGCAUUGACGCUGAGGCGCGAAAGCCAGGGGAGCAAACGGG